GGUUAAGCGACUAAGCGUACACGGUGGAUGCCCUGGCAGUCAGAGGCGAUGAAGGGCGUGCUAAUCUGCGAUAAGCGCCGGUAAGGUGAUAUGAACCGUUAUAACCGGCGAUACCCGAAUGGGGAAACCCAGUGUGAUUCGUCACACUAUCAUUAACUGAAUCCAUAGGUUAAUGAGGCGAACCGGGGGAACUGAAACAUCUAAGUACCCCGAGGAAAAGAAAUCAACCGAGAUUCCCCCAGUAGCGGCGAGCGAACGGGGAGGAGCCCAGAGCCUGAAUCAGCAUGUGUGUUAGUGGAAGCGUCUGGAAAGGCGCGCGAUACAGGGUGACAGCCCCGUACACAAAAGCGCAUGUGCUGUGAGCUCGAUGAGUAGGGCGGGACACGUGGUAUCCUGUCUGAAUAUGGGGGGACCAUCCUCCAAGGCUAAAUACUCCUGACUGACCGAUAGUGAACCAGUACCGUGAGGGAAAGGCGAAAAGAACCCCGGCGAGGGGAGUGAAAAAGAACCUGAAACCGUGUACGUACAAGCAGUGGGAGCCCCACCACUAAGCCAGUGGUGAACUCCACAUCCGCAUCCUUUGCUGAGGAUACGGUUAACGGAGCGAAAGCGACGUUCAACCGCAAAACAAGCAGAGGGGGCUUAGUGGUGGGGUGACUGCGUACCUUUUGUAUAAUGGGUCAGCGACUUAUAUUCUGUAGCAAGGUUAACCGAAUAGGGGAGCCGGAGGGAAACCGAGUCUUAAUUGGGCGUUAAGUUGCAGGGUAUAGACCCGAAACCCGGUGAUCUAGCCAUGGGCAGGUUGAAGGUUGGGUAACACUAACUGGAGGACCGAACCGACUAAUGUUGAAAAAUUAGCGGAUGACCUGUGGCUGGGGGUGAAAGGCCAAUCAAACCGGGAGAUAGCUGGUUCUCCCCGAAAGCUAUUUAGGUAGCGCCUCGUGAAUUCAUCUCCGGGGGUAGAGCACUGUUUCGGCUAGGGGGCCAUCCCGGCUUACCAACCCGAUGCAAACUGCGAAUACCGGAGAAUGUUAUCACGGGAGACACACGGCGGGUGCUAACGUCCGUCGUGAAGAGGGAAACAACCCAGACCGCCAGCUAAGGUCCCAAAGUCAUGGUUAAGUGGGAAACGAUGUGGGAAGGCCCAGACAGCCAGGAUGUUGGCUUAGAAGCAGCCAUCAUUUAAAGAAAGCGUAAUAGCUCACUGGUCGAGUCGGCCUGCGCGGAAGAUGUAACGGGGCUAAACCAUGCACCGAAGCUGCGGCAGCGACGCUGAUGCGUUGUUGGGUAGGGGAGCGUUCUGUAAGCCUGUGAAGGUGUGUCGUGAGGCAUGCUGGAGGUAUCAGAAGUGCGAAUGCUGACAUAAGUAACGAUAAAGCGGGUGAAAAGCCCGCUCGCCGGAAGACCA
RNAcentral lists this ribosomal RNA (1408 nucleotides) under Salmonella enterica subsp. enterica serovar Typhimurium. RNAcentral's name for it is "partial 23S ribosomal RNA". It matches the Rfam family "Bacterial large subunit ribosomal RNA", at positions 1 to 1347 of the family's 2925-position model. Lineage: Bacteria; Pseudomonadati; Pseudomonadota; Gammaproteobacteria; Enterobacterales; Enterobacteriaceae. The record is from RNAcentral.